UGUUUUGAACUAAACCAGGGUUGAUAUGUUUUAAAACAAACAAAAUCCACACUAUUUCACAAUAUCAUUGUUCUUAAUUGAAAUUUUACAGCUGCGUUCCAGAUUGCUGGAGUAUUGGUAUGCUGAUUCCUGUCAGUGAACUGUAAUCUACAGCAUCCUGAAAGAGCAUGAGCAAGCUCUGUGUGGACAAAGGAGCCAAAAAAUCAGGGACAGAAGUGAAGGAAAAAUCUAUUGAGACCUGGAGUGACCCUGACUCUGGGGAGCUCCAGUCGACACAAGUGCACCCCCUUCAAUUUCAGUGGUCAGCAUGCAGGAAGCCAGAGAGCACAAAUAGGUAAUUGCAGCUGAAGUACUUGAUGGUUAUUUGAAAUAUGAUCUUCUUUGCAGAUAUUUUAAAGGGGCUGCGGGGGGAGGGACUAAGCAAUGUGAAAACUAAUUGAAACCCUUUCUUGGUACUGCCUUAUUUGCAGGCUAGUUGCAGCGUGUUUCUUCCAGUAAAUCAUCUGUGGUGCAGGCAGAGAAAUACUGGGCUUGUCAUUAGUGUAGUCCUUGUCCCAGCCUUCUGCCCAGCUUCAUGCUGACAGUAGUUACUUUAACAUAGUGCUCAGGAGCAGUGGUCAGAACCCCUUAUGACAGGGGUUGAACAAACCCCCCAGGCUUUGGGUAAAUCUUCAGGAGUAACUCCUGUAACAUAACAAGCUUAUGUCUCAUUAUAAAAAGCAAUCCAGGCACUUGGCUGCUGUUCUCCCAUUGAAUUAAUUUCCU
Molecule: long non-coding RNA, 765 nt
Organism: Pezoporus flaviventris
Lineage: Eukaryota; Metazoa; Chordata; Aves; Psittaciformes; Psittacidae
Exons: 3
Source: RefSeq, a predicted model, not a curated record